CUCGCUUCACCCCGACGCCCGGGCGUGCGCCUCCUCCCGCCGGCCUGCAGGCCCGGGGCCUCCGUCUGCCAGCUCGCCGCUGCUCCUCGCGGCCCCGGCUCGCGUUCAGGCUGUCGCCCGGGCCGGCGCGGCCGCGGGCCACCGCUCCCCCUCCCACACCUACCCCGCCCCCUCCCCGCCUUUUCCGCCCUCCCGUCCCCUUCCCUCGGCCCGCCGCCGCCGCCGCUCCAGAUGAGGUGAUGGCAACGGCCAACUUCGGCAAGAUCCAGAUCGGGAUUUACGUGGAGAUCAAGCGGAGCGAUGGCCGAAUACAUCAAGCAAUGGUAACAUCUUUAAAUGAAGAUAAUGAAAGUGUAACUGUUGAAUGGAUAGAAAAUGGAGAUACAAAAGGCAAAGAGAUUGACCUGGAGAGUAUCUUUUCACUUAACCCUGACCUUGUACCUGAUGAAGAAAUUGAGCCCAGUCCCGAAACACCUCCACCUCCAACAUCCUCAGCCAAAGUAAACAAAAUUGUAAAGAAUCGACGGACUGUGGCUUCUAUUAAGAAUGAGCCUCCUCCAAGAGAUAAUAGAGUGGUUGGUUCUGCACGUGCACGGCCUAGUCAGCUUCCUGAACAGUCUUCCUCUGCACAACAGAAUGGUAGUGUUUCAGAUAUAUCUCCAGUUCAAGCUGCAAAAAAGGAAUUUGGACCCCCUUCACGUAGAAAAUCUAAUUGUGUGAAAGAAGUAGAAAAAUUACAAGAAAAACGAGAAAAAAGGAGACUACAACAGCAAGAACUUAGAGAAAAGAGAGCCCAGGAUGUUGAUGCUACAAACCCAAAUUAUGAAAUUAUGUGUAUGAUCAGAGACUUCAGAGGAAGUUUGGAUUAUAGACCGUUAACAACAGCAGAUCCUAUUGAUGAACAUAGGAUAUGUGUUUGUGUAAGAAAACGACCACUCAAUAAAAAAGAAACUCAAAUGAAAGAUCUUGAUGUAAUCACAAUCCCUAGUAAAGAUGUUGUGAUGGUACAUGAACCAAAACAAAAAGUAGAUUUAACAAGGUACCUAGAAAACCAAACGUUUCGUUUUGAUUAUGCCUUUGAUGACUCAGCUCCUAAUGAAAUGGUUUACAGGUUUACAGCUAGACCACUAGUGGAAACUAUAUUUGAAAGAGGAAUGGCUACAUGCUUUGCUUAUGGGCAGACUGGAAGUGGAAAAACUCAUACUAUGGGAGGUGACUUUUCGGGAAAGAAUCAAGAUUGUUCUAAAGGAAUUUAUGCAUUAGCAGCUCGAGAUGUCUUUUUAAUGCUAAAGAAACCAAACUACAAGAAGUUAGAACUUCAAGUAUAUGCAACCUUUUUUGAAAUUUAUAGUGGAAAGGUGUUUGACUUACUGAAUAGGAAAACAAAAUUAAGAGUGCUAGAAGAUGGAAAACAGCAGGUUCAAGUGGUUGGAUUACAGGAACGGGAGGUCAAAUGUGUUGAAGAUGUACUAAAACUCAUUGACAUAGGCAACAGUUGCAGAACAUCCGGUCAAACUUCUGCAAAUGCACAUUCAUCUCGGAGCCAUGCAGUGUUUCAGAUUAUUCUUAGAAGGAAAGGAAAACUACAUGGCAAAUUUUCUCUCAUCGAUUUGGCUGGAAAUGAAAGAGGAGCUGAUACUUCCAGUGCAGACAGGCAAACUAGGCUUGAAGGUGCUGAAAUUAACAAAAGCCUUUUAGCACUCAAGGAGUGCAUCAGAGCCUUAGGUAGAAAUAAACCUCACACUCCUUUUCGAGCAAGUAAACUUACUCAGGUGUUAAGAGAUUCAUUCAUAGGUGAAAACUCUCGUACCUGCAUGAUUGCCACAAUCUCUCCAGGAAUGGCAUCCUGUGAAAAUACUCUUAAUACAUUAAGAUAUGCAAAUAGGGUGAAAGAACUGACUGUGGAUCCAGCUGCUGCUGGUGAUGUCCGUCCAAUAAUGCACCAUCCACCAAAUCAGAUCGAUGACUUAGAGGCGCAGUGGGGUGUGGGGAGUUCCCCUCAGAGAGAUGAUCUAAAACUUCUUUGUGAACAAAAUGAAGAGGAGGUUUCUCCACAGUUGUUUACUUUCCACGAAGCUGUCUCACAAAUGGUAGAAAUGGAAGAACAAGUUGUAGAAGAUCACAGGGCAGUGUUCCAGGAAUCUAUUCGAUGGCUAGAAGAUGAAAAGGCUCUCCUAGAAAUGACUGAAGAAGUCGACUAUGAUGUAGAUUCAUAUGCUACACAACUUGAAGCUAUUCUUGAGCAAAAAAUAGACAUUUUAACUGAGCUGCGGGAUAAAGUGAAAUCUUUUCGUGCAGCUCUGCAAGAAGAAGAACAGGCCAGCAAGCAAAUCAACCCGAAGAGACCCCGUGCCCUUUAAAUUGGCAUUUGCUGCUUAAGGAUCCCCAGAACCCUCACUACUGUAACAUACAAUGAUUCAGCUGUAAGGGCCAUUUGAAAGUUUGAAAUUUUAAGUGUCUGUGGAAAAUGUCUUGUCCCUUCACCUGAAUGACAUUUCAAUUUUGUGAAACACUCCUUUGUCUACAAAAUGCUUCUAGUCCAGGAGGCACAACCAAGAUUUGGGAAUAGUGAAGCAUUUUGUUUCAUUAACCCAAAUAUUGAUUUACUUUUGGAGAUCCUUGCCAAUUUUAUUUUCUAUAUGAUGAAGUAAGAUUGUGGACUUGAUCCAGAGGUGAAUAGUGGGGGGAUGCCACAGCAUUUCCUGUUAACUCGGUUCGAUUUUUAUAGCAAGACUGAGCAGUUUUAACUCCUUUGCGUGCAUGCAUACCUCAUCAGUGAUUGUACAUACCUUGACCACUCCUAGAGACCGCUGUGCUCACCUCUCCCUGCUCUGUGCCUUGACUAAGGCUAUUGACCCUAAAUUUCUGAAGCACAGCCAAGAUAAAUUACAUUCCGUAUUUGUCCUUGUAAAUUACCUUUAUUGUGUGUACAUUUUUACUGUAUUUGAGACAUUUUUUGUGUGUGACUAGUUACUUUUGCAGAAUGUGCCAUACAUUGAAUGGAACUAAAGUCUGUGACAGUGGACAUAGCUGCUGGACCAUUCCAUCUUAUAUGUAAAGAAAUCUGGAAUUAUGAUUUUAAAACCAUAUAUGUGGUUAUAAUUUUCUUAGCAUUUCUUUGUAAAGAACUAAAAUAUAAACUAGUUGGUGUAUAAUAAAAAGUAAUGAAAUUCUGAGAAGAGUUUUAUCUUAGGAUAAUACAUAUAUGCAGUGUGUGUUCCAGUGUGGUAUUAACAAGACUAAUAGUGCAAUUUGAUCCUUACCAAUACCGUUACGUAAGUUGAAGCGUCCAUCGGCACCCCAAAAUGUAUCGUUUAAAUGUACUGUUAAAGGAAAUUGGCUUCUGAUGCAUGAACAUUUACAUGUACAUCGAAAGUAGUCUGUAAUAGAACUGUUAGUUUAAGCCAAGCGUAGACAGUACAUAACUCCCUUGAAAAAGAAUUAAGCUAAAAAAGAGUUGACUUUGCCUUAAAAGGCACAUCUAACCCAGGCUCCAUCCAUUACCUAAUGUGUGAUGUUUCACCAUUAUUUGGUGAGAAUCACCGAAUUCUCACCAAUAAACUGAUCUAGGGUAUGCUACUUUUCAAAUGGUGGUACUUAUCUUUACAGAUUGCUACUCCGAGGAAGAAAACUGGCCACUUUUCAUGUACAUAUUUUGUUAAAAGAUUUAUAUUGCUCUCUAGGAGUUUUCCCUCAGUUCCCAGGAUGGAGUCCAAGAGUAGAUUAAAAACAACAAAAAGUCUCCCAAGGAUAUCUUGUUUGGAUUGACUCUAAGGAACUACUAGCUCAUCCAUAUGGGCCCAAGGGAAGCUAUGAAUAGAGAGUCACAUGAGCCAGAUUCCUACUUCCCUGUUCAUAGAACUCAGAGGGUAGUGGUGGGAAAUCCUAACACCAUGGUGAAAUGCUCCUCUGUAAACUUGAAAUCUAGAACAAAUGUAGAUUUUCACAAUGUGCUUAUUAAUAAAUGAAAUCUAUGGAAUGAGUUUUAGAGAUAAUUUACUUCAAUACAAUCACCUUUGUUUUGGAAGGGACUCAGGUUUUCUUGCAGCUGUAAGAUAUGUUCUAUUUGUGUUUAUUUCAAAGAGAAGAGGAACUGUUACUAUUGACCUUGCAGAGGCUUUUUAAAAAGGUAGAUUUUGAGGCUAACCAACCUUCAAAGGGCAAUAAAAGAACUUGCUCUUUUAAAGCACAACAGAUUAGUCUUAAUUUAUUAUUUAAAUUAGAUGAGUACUAUCUCUGGAAGGUCUCCUUAUAUCCAAAUAUGCUGCUUUAUACUGUAAUGGCUUCAUUCUGAUCAGUAACCAAGGUAUAUAAAGAAUUGGUACCAGAAAAGAUCUUGGUAGUAUAAUCCAGUCCUUCAGUUUUACAGAUAGAUAGGCAAAACCGAAGGCCAGAAAAGGGACUAAAACUGAGCAGUUCAUAAGGGGAAAGGGAAAUAGAGGGAAUGCUAAAUUAAAUCUUAAAAUGUUGCUGUAAGGAUACAGACAGUACAAGUGAACUUUGCAAAGUAGUUUUGUGAUACUUAAAAAAACCUCUUAAUGUUUAUGUAACAAAAGUGGCUUGAUGCAGCUAUUAUUUAAAGAAUAAUUUUUUGGAUCUGGAUUAAACAUUAUUUACUUUCUCAGACUUGAAAGCUGAUAUCCCUCUUAAUAAGUAACUAAGAAAAUAUACAUUCUUUUAAUUAUAUAGGAAUGUUUUAAUACAUCACGACUUGAAGCCAGAUUUCAAAAAAAUCUGUUUAGGCAAACAAUUUAUCUUCCCUUCUAGGUUUACUCAGUGUACCUUUGUUAAAAUAAUUCGGAAACACUCCUGUUAAGUUAGGUAUAAAGAAAGGCAAAUAUCAAUGAAGAUAUUUUUUUAUUAAUUUCCUUAUAUAAAUAAUCAGCUCCUAUAAUUCUUAUUAAAGGACAUUAACAACAUUUAGUAUUAUAUUGAUAAUGAUUUAAACAUAGUAGCUAACUAAGACUUGUUUAUGACAUCUAUUAAAUUUUCAACCUGACAUUUUACAAAUAGCUUGAAACUAAGCAUCAGGUAUAUGAAAAAGUACUGGAAAUUUUAACUAUCCAUAAGUCAGAUGGAUACUGGGAGCCUGUAGUUGUAGGAAAAUGGCUGGUUGGGUUUUUUUGUUUGUUUUGAAAUUGAAGGGCAGAGAUUUUCAUUUUAAGGCCAGUUUUGAUUUAUAAAAACUCUGAAAUUUUGUUAAACCUAUGACUAUCUCCCCAAGAAAAAACAAUCUUAUAGUUCAUUUCAUUCUAGUUGAGCAUCCUUGUUUCACAGGUAAGGAAUCAUGCCCAGAAGCGAUACGCCUGGCACCACAUGGUGGCAGCUGCAGACUCAGGCUUACCCAGAGCUCUGAUGUAGCCUAUGAUGCUACAGGAUAGCUGAUGGGGGAGGCAAUGACAGAAGUUGUAAAGGAUAAAAAGAGAAAGAAUGAGAGAAGCAAGAUAAAAACAUUGUAAGAAACAAUUGUUUUACUGCAUACAUGAAUAACAAGAAAUGGUAUGGGGAAUAUGUGACUAGCGUAUUGUAGCUUUUUUACUACUUGAGGGACAAAGGCCUAAAGAGCUGAAGGCCUAAAGAGGUCCUCACAGUAAUAUAUAAUAGAAAAUACAAGAGUAACAUCUUUAUACAAUAAACUGUUAGAAAUGAUAAGUUUAAGUGUAAAGUUGUGCGUGUCUGCGGCUCUUGAACUUGAAGAUUAUCAUGUAUAGAUUGGACCCUGCCCUCUAUGUUCGAUUUUAAAAACAAACCAAAACCAAAAAAAAAAAAUUGGAGUACUUAGAAUUGACUGACUUACUACCUUGAAAAUUCAGAGUAAUAAAUGAUGACAACAGUAGUAUAAAUCAAAAAUAGUCAAGCACAUAGUGUCCCAGUAGAGCAAAAGCAUAGUUCAUCUUCUCAAAUUAUUAAAAGUAUACAAUCCCAGUUUCUUUUCUUGAAUUUGAAACAUUCUGUCUUCCAGAUACCUAAGAAAAAUGGAUACCUUCUGCAUUGAAUCCAUGUAGCAAUCUGAAAAAAGCAAGCGAAAUGAGAUGGUAUUGAAAAGCUAAUUUGUAGCACGUAACAGCGCACAGUUCCUAUACCAUGAAUUCUAAAACAUGAACACAUCAGCAGACAUAUGAAGCCCACCCACUCCUAACACUAGUCAUUAAAGUUUAUUCUUCAACUAAAUUUAUAACAUAUAUACUGGUUAAAACCACAUCAUUUUGCUGCCUCUUUUGUCUGUAUGUCUUAAGUUAUUAUGAAUUGGACUAAAAAUAUCUUCGACCUCCACUAUCCCAGUCCUAACAGCUCAUAGGCAUUUGUUCCAUUUCAACAUGGUAGGUGAACAAGAAGUUAUUUGGAAUUAGAGACACGAGAGAUGAAUGGCUAAUCUUACAUGUCCAUUCUUCCUCUCUGAGCUCACUGUUACUGAGGUUCAAAUUAAAUAUUUACACGCUGCUUUUCUCUGGAUACCUAUGUACUUAUGAGAUCAUAGUUAGCAAACUGCAUAUACUUAAUAACCUUGAAGAAGUCUGGUGAGAAUGAAGGAAAGUAAGAUGAAAUAUUUCUAUUUAGACCUGAGAUUAUUUUCAGGAUGGCUCAUAGGAACAGGUCAAGAUGGGUUAAGAUGUCUGAAAAAGGAAGAUAGGUACUUAAGAAUAAUGUUCAACUCCUAAGAUUAAUAUCUAAUAAACACUCAGUACUGCUAGCCUGCCAGUAUAAAAUAUAAACCCCAUUUGUCUUAGUUAUAUAGAACUGUGUUUCCAACUUAGAAAAGUCAAACCAAUGACUUCUCCUCAUUUUUUAUUCAGCCCCUAGAACAUGGAAGCUUUAAAAAUGAAUUGGCUCAACAGGCAAAAACUUCUGUGCAGUAAGUGAUGGUUUAUUAGUUAGGAAAUCAAAGUGUUAGUGAUUAAAAACAGUGAGUACAGGUUAAUAAUUACUUGGGUAAUUGAAGCCUUACUCUGCUUUCGUUAAGACUUACUUGCUUAAUUCAAGGAAAAUAAAUUUUGGUCUACAUUGCCCAGAUACUUAUGACACCUUUCUUUUACUUCAGGUGUGUAGAACUUGCCUCAGUCUACAAAACAGGCUACUUUGAAGAGACAAACUAUGAAGACUGACUGUGAAUGGGAGUUGGGGGAGGGGGUUGGACGGGAGGAGCACACACACCAGAGGGACACAGGCUUUCUCCAGGCUUGAACUGUUCUUUACUACUGUUCUUAAAGAAAAUGGUCACUCUGCUGCAGCUAACUAGCCUCCAUCUUCUACACCAAAUACUAUGCCAUGCCAUGGAAGUGCUAUGCAAUAACUCCCAGGUAGCACUUUAUACCGCUUAAAAGCCUUUAAAUCUAAUCUGAAGGUGUCACAGUAGAGAAAUGUAAACACUUAGGAAAAUGUAAUUACCUGAUGAAGUCAUCUAUGUCCAUGGAACGGGCACGCUUGUCACUAAAACCUGUGCUGGUUAGGAUUUGCUGUAUUUUAUCUGCUAUGCUGAAAUCUUCUGGUAUUAUCUAUAAUAUAAGAUUCAGAAUAAAUGAACAACGUAUCUUUAAUGAA
RNA transcript from Diceros bicornis minor, 7539 nucleotides. It is a transcript of the gene named kinesin family member 2A, with no coding region annotated. The record is from RefSeq and is a predicted model, not a curated record. The transcript has 21 exons. NCBI's taxonomy places the organism in Eukaryota, Metazoa, Chordata, Mammalia, Perissodactyla, Rhinocerotidae.